AGUUUUAUUCUUGCUUAAUAAUUUAUUAUUCAAAAAUAUUACAUGUAAAUUCUUAUGAGAGUUAAUAAAAUCUAAAAGAUAAUUAGUUAUUAUUCGCAGUAUUUAAUAUUGAUCAUCAAGGAAAUUUGGAAUCAGUUAUUUGAGAGAUGAUUGGUAAAAAUCGUGCCAGCUACCGCGGUUAUACGAAGAAUAGAAAUAAAUUGUAUUGGUUUAAAGUUAAUUUAGGUGGAUGAAUAAAUGAUUAAUUUUUAAAAGGUAAAAUUUGUUAAGUUGAUUAUUUUUUUAAGUUGUGGAAUGAAGCUUUAAAAUUUUAUAUAUAGACUAGGAUUAGAUACCCUAUUAUUAUAAGAUGUAAAAUAAGAACUUGAGUAGUAAUAGUUAAGAUCUUGAAACUCAAAGAAUUUGGCGGUAUUUUAGUCUUUUCAGAGGAAUCUGUUCUGUAAAUGAUAUUACACGAUAAAAUUUACUUAAUUUUGUAAGAUCAACUUGUAUACCGUCGUCAUAAGUCUAUCUUUAGAAAGGAGAAAUUUUCUGGAUAUUAAUUGAUAGAAUGUCAGAUCAAGGUGCAGUUUAUAGUUAAGAGGAAAUGGAUUACAAUAAAUUUAUUUAUAUGAAUUUGUACACUGAAAGUGUUAAUGAAGGUGGAUUUGAAAGUAAUAUUAUUUUAUUUAAUAAUAUGAUGUAAGCUCUAGAAUAUGUACACAUCGCCCGUCGCUCUCAUUAUUAAGGUGAGAUAAGUCGUAACAUAGUAGGUGUACUGGAAAGUGUACCUAGAUAGC
This 779-nucleotide non-coding RNA is filed under the name Holochlora fruhstorferi. Lineage: Eukaryota; Metazoa; Arthropoda; Insecta; Orthoptera; Tettigoniidae. The record is from RNAcentral.